This is an RNA transcript of Tupaia belangeri chinensis (Chinese tree shrew), 1561 nucleotides long. It is a transcript of the gene named HCLS1 associated protein X-1, with no coding region annotated. The transcript is spliced from 8 exons. The record is from RefSeq and is a predicted model, not a curated record. Lineage: Eukaryota; Metazoa; Chordata; Mammalia; Scandentia; Tupaiidae.
GUUAAAAUAGCAGAGGUCCUCCGGGUCAUUCUAGAAACAGACGCGGCAGUGGAAGGGGCCAGGUGGCUUCCGCUUUAGGCUGGCGAUCCCCGGGCGCGGUGAGCCGCGAGCCGCCCCAGGCAGGUCAGUUUGCGCAGCUGGGCUGCCCUCUGCUGGCACUGCCCGGGUACGAACCAGAUUCAAACCCUCGGAACACAUUGGGCCGGGUUAGUUGACGGGAGAGUCGAUUUGGGAGGAAGGUAAUAGAAAGCAAGAAUUCCACACGCUCACUCCCAAAGGCAGAAGGCUCUGCAAACCUGGGUAAUGACGCCUUCCCAACGCGAAGACCGCCGUCCCGCCUCCGCUUCCACGUCGGGCGUACGGUCGUUUUACGACAGUUUAUCCGAGCCGCAGGCUUGCUUUCCGGCAGCGUGGACAGAAGCUUCGCUCGAUUUCCGACAUCGUGGGCAGAUUGCCCCCUUGCCACGGGAGGGGUUUAAAAGUUCGAAUGUCAGUGCCGGAAUGAGUCUCUUUGACCUCUUCCGGGGCUUUUUCGGCUUUUCUGGAGCUCGGAGCCACAGAGAUCCCUUUUUUGGAGGGAUGACUCGAGAUGAAGAUGAGGAUGAUGAGGAAGAAGAAGAAGGAGCUACAUGGGACCAUAGGAGCCCAAGGUUUGACGGUCCCCAGCCUCCGGAGGAAUUUGGCUUCAGCUUCAGCUUCAGCCCAGGAGGAGGGAUGCGCUUCCAUGACAACUUCGGCUUCGAUGACUUAGUGCGGGAUUUCAAUAGCAUCUUCAGUGAGAUGGGGGCCUGGACCUUGCCUUCCCACUCUCCUGAACUUCCAGGUGUUGAGUCAGAGACACCUGGUGAGAGACCUCGGGAGGGACAGACACUCCGGGACUCCAUGCUUAAGUAUCCAGAUAGCCACCAGCCCAGGAUCUUUGGGGGGGUCUUGGAGAGUGAUGAAAGAACUGAACCCCCAAAACCAGCACCAGACUGGGGCUCCCAGAGACCUUUUCAGAGGUUUGAUGAUAGAUGGCCUGUGACCCCUCAUCCUAGAGCCAGAGAGGACAAUGAUCUUGAUUCCCAGGUUUCCCAGGAGGGUCUUGGCCCAGUUCUACAGCCCCAGCCCAAAUCCUAUUUCAAGAGCAUCUCUGUGACCAAGAUCACUAAGCCAGAUGGGAUAGUGGAGGAGCGCCGGACCGUGGUGGAUAGUGAGGGCCGAAGAGAGACCACAGUAACCCGUCAAGAAGCAGACCGCAGUACUCAAGAUGACCCAGAGUCACCAAGACCUCCAGCCCUGGAUGAUGCCUUUUCCAUCCUGGAUUUAUUCUUAGGACGUUGGUUCCGGUCCCGGUAGCCUUCAGGUCUUUUCUGCCUCCCACCCGUUGCUCACCAUCACCAGACUUAGCUCGUUCACCUGCCAUCUCAAGGACCUGGGUGUGUGGAACAUGAAUUGGGGGUGUAGCAAAGCGAGAGCUUAUUGAAGGAGAAGAAGGAAAAACAGCUCCCAAGAAGGGAGGGGUCCUGGAAAAUGGGUUGCUGAGGAGGAACUGGGGCGAAGACUUUUAUCUGGGUCCCGG